AUGAGUUUAUUUCAUGUAAUGAUACAGCUCCCCUCCCCAGCAGGUGCAAUGAAUCAGACUGGUAAUGUGAACACAGUGGCAGCUGGCAAGAGGCAGGGCUGGGUCGCCCACCGGAGAAGGAGACUGAUGGAAGGAGGCUUAAACACGUGGCCUUCUGUAGAACCAACCAGCCUGAUGCAACUUUCAAUACCAGUCUGGUUUGGCUGCAAGAACAUUACAGAUACCCGGAGUUACACAACUGUGCUUCAUACAGUGAUGGCAAAGGUGUCAGCCUGCUCUGCUGUCCCUCUUGCCACCUCAGGAAAUAGGCUUUUGGCUCACAGAGGGGGUGAGAAAUUGUCCUGGACCACAGAGUCUAUUGAGGGCAUUAACAGCACCUUGAGCUAAAAGGUCGGGUGGAAAGCCAGCUCUCUGCCUGGCGUGUGAACCUCUCCGGGCACGCUGCGUAGCCACUGGGUCUCAGUGUUCUUAUUCGUAGGAUGGGGGCGAGUAUGCUCAUCUCAUGACCUCAUGAGGUUAUGGUGAUGAUUAAACACUGAACGUAACAAAAUGCCUGGUUUCAUCCGAAGCGCUCAGAAAGUGUUCACUCCCCUCCUUAAAGGUCCUUCACAUUCCUUUCUCCCCUUACACUGUAGCCAUGUCACGUACCUUCAGGCAAUUGUCCAUGAGGCCUCUGUGAGGACACAAAGCCAGUGUAGGCAUUACACACACGCAUGGAGGGUUUUAAGAAAAGACAACCUCCACUUCAGAAGGGCCUUCCCAGCUCCCCUGACGGACAAGGAACAUAUACACAAAAAGAAACAGAGGACAGGAUGGGAUUAGGGGGAAAAGGCUCCAGGGUAAGGCGUUAGCUCAGCUGGGUUUUUGCCCUAUGAGAGCUUAAUAUGUUCCAAGCAUUGGGAUUAUCUCAUUUAAGGCUUACAGUGACCUAGUAAAAGUGCUCUUGAUAUUAACCCCAUUUUACAGAUGAGCAAACCGAGACUUAAAGGAGUAAGUCCCUUCGCUGAAGUCAUAGUGUCCGUGUGGGAGCUGUCCUCUAUGACGGCAAGUCACUUAGCCUCUCUGGGCCUUAGUUUUCUUAUCUGGAUGGAAGGGGGAAUCACAUGACAUGUGGGGUCCCUUCUAGAUCUGACUUUCUAUAUUUAAUAUAAGAAUUACAUAAAAGAUUUUAAAUAAGUUAGCCCUAGGUGCUUUUAAGAGUGACACUGAUGGCGGAUAGCUGCUUCAAAAAGACUCUAAAAUAUUCCUUACGUGUCCCAGCUUCCAAUUUGCUACCCCAAUAAGCCAAACAAAGAAACCCUCCUCUGAAGCUUCCUUCCGGUUGAUUUAGAGUCCUAAAGCUAAUUUAGACCAAACUGGAAGGAGAAGCAGAGGUGUGGCUUGAAAAAAAUCUAUGGCUUCUCACACAACAGAUAUACAUGAUAAGAAGUCUGCACACACACACACACACACACCCCACCAGGGCUCGAAUCAUCUUCCACUGAAGCUCAGCACCAAUUUCUCCAGCCCAGUUGUCAUGGCAACACCAGCUGCCAAUGAGAUCAUGGAAGACAAGGUUAUAAUGGCAGUGGUAUCUUAAUAUUUUACCUGGCAAAACCACUUAGAUAAUAAGAUGAAUAACCAUAAAUCAUAAAUCCAUAGGAAGCCCAGGCACUGCUCUUUGUAUGUGUUUAAUGUGCACUUGGGGGUGGGGAAGAGAAAUGAGAGCGAAAGGAAAGGAACAGAAAGGAAGGGAGGGUGAGGCCGGGGGUGGGGAAGAUCUCUGAUGCUGAUCCCUGUGACUCUGCG
Molecule: long non-coding RNA, 1788 nt
Organism: Mustela putorius furo (domestic ferret)
Lineage: Eukaryota; Metazoa; Chordata; Mammalia; Carnivora; Mustelidae
Source: Ensembl